Molecule: long non-coding RNA, 217 nt
Filed under: Arachis ipaensis
Lineage: Eukaryota; Viridiplantae; Streptophyta; Magnoliopsida; Fabales; Fabaceae
Description: long non-coding RNA (AIPA_LNC000473)
Source: RNAcentral
UUUUCAUUCAUAAAUCAUACAUUCAUUUAAUCAAUGGGGGUUACCAUUCCCGGGAAUUUAUAACAUUUUUCAAUGCACAACAUAAUACAAAACCAUACAUUAUUAACAAAAUCUCCAAAACCUCACUAAACAAUACCCUAAACCUGACUAACCCCACAACUAAUUAGCUACUACCCUCACUUAUAGUCCCCAUAAAUCCCAUCCUACGACAUGUAUA